AUUAUAUUAUAUUUGAAUUCAAUGUCUUAUCCACAUUACAACCUUUUACGUUUUACCCCCAAGAUUUUCUAAGAUUUCGGUCGUUUUACCCCCAAAAGUUACGUUUUACUCCCGAAAUUAACCACAAUUCAAGGUAGCCUUUCUCUACGAUCUUCCAUACAUCUUGCAAUCUGAAAAAUGCCUUCAUCCAUAUGCUCCAAUUAUCGUAGUUAUCCUUGUUCAGUUGGGGGACUUAAAAAAGAAUCAUCCCACUUGCCAUUUUUCACAAGGAUUUUAGAGCUUUGAUAGAAGAAGAGGUUUACUAAUUUGAAUUUCCUAAGACUUUUAGAAAGGACAACACUAAUAGAAGGAAGUAAGUUAACAAAAAGGAAACUUGUAUUUCUCAACUUCAAAACUCG
RNAcentral lists this long non-coding RNA (398 nucleotides) under Olea europaea subsp. europaea. Lineage: Eukaryota; Viridiplantae; Streptophyta; Magnoliopsida; Lamiales; Oleaceae. The record is from RNAcentral.